UGGGGAAUAUUGCGCAAUGGGGGAAACCCUGACGCAGCAACGCCGCGUGGGUGAUGAAGGCUUUCGGGUCGUAAAGCCCUGUCAACAGGGAAGAAACCUUGGGACGCGAAUAGUGUCCCAAAUUGACGGUACCUGUGGAGGAAGCACCGGCUAACUCCGUGCCAGCAGCCGCGGUAAAACGGAGGGUGCAAGCGUUGUUCGGAAUUACUGGGCGUAAAGCGCGUGCAGGUGGUCUUUUAAGUUUCAUGUGAAAUCCCCAGGCUUAACUUGGGAACUGCAUGAAAUACUGAAGGACUUGAGUUCGGGAGAAGAGGGCGGAAUUCCCAGUGUAGAGGUGAAAUUCGUAGAUAUUGGGAGGAACACCGGUGGCGAAAGCGGCUCUCUAGACCGACACUGACACUCAUACGCGAGAGCGUGGGUAGCAAACAG
This 429-nucleotide ribosomal RNA is filed under the name uncultured bacterium. RNAcentral's name for it is "bacterial SSU rRNA". It matches the Rfam family "Bacterial small subunit ribosomal RNA", at positions 355 to 775 of the family's 1533-position model. The record is from RNAcentral.